AACUUUUGACAACGGAUCUCUUGGCUCUCGCAUCGAUGAAGAACGCAGCGAAAUGCGAUACGUAAUGUGAAUUGCAGAGUUCAGUGAAUCAUCGAAUCUUUGAACGCACAUUGCACUCUCUGAUAUUCCGGAGAGUAUGCUUGUUUGAGUAUCAGUAAACACCUCAAAUCUCUUCUCUCUUGAGAAGAGACUUGGACUUGAGCAAUCCCAACUCUUUGCAAAAAGGGGCGGGUUGCUUGGAAUGCAGGCGCAGCUGGCCAUUCCUCUGAGCCAAAAGCGUAUUUAUUUAUACCCGUCAAAAGGAUUAUUACUUUUGCUCUAGCUAAUAUAAAGGGUGAAUGUGCAAUAUGCUGACUGAUGCAGGAUUACCAAGUUUUACUAGCUAAAACUUGUAAACUCGAUCUCAAAUCAAGUAAGACUACUCGCUGAACUUAAGCAUAUUACUAAGCGGAGGC
Molecule: unclassified non-coding RNA, 455 nt
Filed under: uncultured Mortierella
Lineage: Eukaryota; Fungi; Mortierellomycota; Mortierellomycetes; Mortierellales; Mortierellaceae
Description: sequence contains ITS2
Rfam family: 5.8S ribosomal RNA (bases 1-154)
Source: RNAcentral